This 602-nucleotide long non-coding RNA is filed under the name Homo sapiens (human). RNAcentral's name for it is "HSALNT0372434". Lineage: Eukaryota; Metazoa; Chordata; Mammalia; Primates; Hominidae. The record is from RNAcentral.
GAAAAAAAGGCCGGGCGCGGUGGCUCACGUCUGUAAUCCCAGCGCUUUGGGAGUCUGAGGCGGGCGGAUCACAAGGUCAGGAGAUCGAGACCAUCCUGGCUAAUACGGUGAAACCCCAUCUCUAUUAAAAAUACAAAAAAAUUAGCAGGGCAUGGUGGCAGGCGCCUGUAGUCCCAGCUACUCAGGAGGCUGAGGCAGGAGAAUGGCGUGAACCCGGGAGGCGGAGGUUGCAGUGAGCCGAGAUCGCGCCACUGCACUCCAGCCUGGGCGACAGAGUGAGACUCUGUCUCAAAAAAAAAAAAAAAAAAAAAAAAGAAAAAAGAUGAAAGAAAUGGGUUCUUUAAAUCUCACUUUCAUCAUUCAAUCCACUGUCAGUGAGACAUCUGAUGGUACUUAGUUGCAGAUAUAAAGAAUCCUCAUUUAUAAGUACAGGUCAUUUUAUACCUAUUUUUUUUCAUUUAGCACUGUCAAGUUCCACUAUUUUUUUCAUAAUUCUCUCCAGCACAGUGCUCUAUGUAUAAUAGAUCUUCAAUAAAUGUUAUCAGGAACUUCUUUCUCUAUUCUUAAUCUCUAUGACAUUCAUUCAUUUGUUCAUAUAAGAA